CUAAAUUCUCUGCGUCCCUCUCUCUGCCUUCCUCUCUAUCCCUUCACCCCCUCCCCCUCUCUCCUCCCCCUUCUCUCCCAUCCCCUGCAAUCCGCACUCGACGCGAGUUCACGCGCAGGGCUGGAUUUCCAAGCUGCACUGCAACUUCUCAGCGCGUUAUUAUUAUUCAUCUGAGGGUGCAGCCUCUGCAACCUUCGCCUCCUGCGCUAGCAUCCUUCCCCCUAGCCGCGGCCAACAACAGCAGUGCAGUCUCUUCUGCACGCAGGCUCUGGUUCACAACAGGAGGAUUCUGGUUUGGGGGUUUUUGUUUGUUUGUUUGUUUGUUUUGUUUUUGCUUUUGCUUUUUAAUUCUCUUCAGGAUCAUUUCCACGAUGCCUGGUUUUAUCAUUAGCUUUUCCUCCGGCCAGGUGGCGCGACCACCAGCGCCUGCUCGAAGGUCUUCCUUUCCCCCAGACAAGGAAACGAUUGGGACUUGGCCAGUGAGGCCGCUCCCUGCUGGUCGAGCAGUCUUUAGCCUCCGCAACUCUCCCGCAUUCAUCUGCAUGUGUAUAUAUUAUCCCCAUUCUUUUUUAUUCCAGUAGAUCUGCCUUUGGUUUGGACUGGCUGAAGCACUGCGGACUGCAACCAGUAUCUUUUAAAGGAGAAAAGAUGCGGAUCUUGUGCGGACUCCGGGACAAAGCGUCUUGGGCUCGGUGACAAGGGACGCUCGGGACUCUGACUCCUCGAUUGGAGAGACCAACGCAGCCCAAGGGCACCCCGCAGGGCCUGCGGACCUCUGAGGCGAGAGGACCGCAGCAGGAGAGUUCCGGAAGGCUGAUUCCCACAGAUCCUGGUGAGGGGCCGCCGCAGCUCAGCCCUACGGCACUCCCGGCCAGGCAGCAACCAGGACUCUACACGCGAGGAAAAAGCUUGGAAACGAAAGGAUGCGGGAGAACAAAGAGCCUUCGGAGGACGUGGCUGUUAUCUCAUUGUCUGACUGGGGGAGCUGCGGAGAAAGGCCUCUCUCUCCGUGUUCACAGCGGACCUUGAUUUAAAUGUCCAUACAAUUAAGGCACGCGGUGAAUGCCAAGAAUGGGGCUGUCUGAGCACCUUGGGUCCUCGAGGGCCCGCCACGGAAGGAUCGACCCAGCCCAACGCCCUGGGCAGAUCUCAGUGCUGCAGCUGCAGGCGCCACAGGAGGGGCAGCGGGCUGCUGAAUGCCUUGCACCGCAGCUUUUAGGGUGGGGAUGUGUGCGGCUACCGACAAAGAGGGGCUUGUGUAGAUGCAAACAGAAUCUAGGAAAGAAACAACCCAUUCUGUGACAGAAACACGAAUCUAUGCACGCGGGUAGUGGUGGGAGUGGGCGAUGGUCUGGGAGCUGUUGGAGAGUGAAGAGUGUGCGUUAGCAUCUGGGACCGUGCCCAUAGUACAAGGUCGACACCUUCCUUCCUAUCUGUUUUUGUCCUGGGCUUUCAAUUUGCCCUUAAACAAAUACUAAUAAUCUGGUACCCAUGGGACUGGCAGGCUGCCCCAGAGCCUGGACUGCAGCUACAUUGUGUUCUGCUUGGGUUUGGUCGUCUAGUCUUUGGGGGACGCUGUUUGUCACACUUUGGUGGAGAGCUGUGGGCAUUUGACAAGCUCAAGCAGAUCUUGGGAUGAAGGCGACCAGCAAAUUUGCUCAUGAACAACGCUCAGACUCCAUCAAAGCUGACAGCUAGCUCUCGGCUCCAAGGACAGCCUCCAGCCUUCUCAGGGCUGUGACUGAAGUUUCAGGCAGAGAUCCAGAGCUGCAGGAGAGGCACAGUAUGCCCAAAGGGAGGGCUGUUCCGUUGCUCCUAAAACCGGGACAGAAGGAAAAACAGCAUGCGUACAGGUGGGGGUCUGAGCAAAGUCUGUUUUGAAGCAGGCUGUCCAGGAGCAGAAAGGGUUAAGCCUCCCUCAUCCUGAAGCACCUGCUUCCCAGAUCAGCCCCCAAACAGCAGCUGGUCCUAGAGACCCCCGACCCAGUCCCAUCUCCAGCUCAGUGUUCACCGCCAGCCUGCAGUAGAUGGACGGUGGCCUGGUGACCGACCUAAACUCAUUAAUUUCCAGGUGGAGAAAAUGGAGGAGGGGCAGGUCCCAGCAGCAGAGGGGAGGAAAGGGGGCCAAGAGCUGGCCUUCCCACCCAGGAAGCAGGCUGUAGCCCUUCCCCCUGCUGCCAUGCCAGAGGCCUGCCUUUGCAAGGCCAAGCCCAUAAAGGAUGUUUAGGAGUUUAAUCUGAUUCCUGGCACUGUAAUCAGGGUCUAAAGGAGCAUCCAUUGAAGUUAAUGGAGGACUCUUUUCUCCAAAGCCUCUGCCUCCUCUAGUCUAGUAAGUUAGUAUUCGAGGCCAUCAUGGAUCAGUACCUCUCUGUCCUAGUUAACUCAUGAGUAUUUAUUAUUUCUUGAGUAUCUACUAUGUGUCCGUCUUUGUGAUUAUCUCAUCUUAACUGCCAGAUUUCGUCCCAGAAGGGAGCGUUAGAGCUAGCUGGACUGAGGUUAUAGGCUUUCCCAGAACCUUCUCAGCUCUGCAGAAAUGAGCCACAGCCUGCUCACUCUUGCAGGAGGAAAGCCGCAGGGGACUGCAGGGAUUUUGCUGACUGAGUCCUGUAGAGCAAGUUGGGCUGCCAGGAAGAAAGGGAAAACCUUAGCCAUGGCUGUCCUAAGAGGCAUUGUAGUCAUUGCCUUCAAAAUCUACCUUCCUUGAAAUGAGAACUGAUUCUGUUCUGGGACACUCCCACCCUUUAUGAAUGUGUUAGAGGAGAGCAUCCAGUGUACUGUACCAUUCUGGGGUGUACCCAUCGCCUCCACCCUCUAUGCCCGAUAAGAUGUUAUUUAGCCUUCAAGCAAUUGCCUAAGCUGCUGAUGGCCCAACCCCCUGUACCUCAAAUGUCCCCAUUAGCAAUCCUCUGCCCAAUAAUUGCUUCCCCCGUGAUUCCUUCAAAUGUCCCCUCGUCCUUCACUUCAUCUUAUAUAACCUCCAGAUGCUUCCCCAAGUUAAGGUCCUUUUAGGUAGAAACUCAAUACGCUUUUUCUCUGAGAGCUCCAACCGCAGACACCUUCCGUAAGGCCUGCCUGGGAUCUGCUACAUAGGAUCUGUGCUGGGAAGGGUGCAUUUUAAUUUUAUUGCUGGCAGAAACUCUUGUUCCAGAAUGUAUUCGUGUGUGGGAGUGUUCUGGGCUGGCCAGUCUGUGCAAAUCAGUGUGAGUCUGUGUCCACCAGUUGCCCUUCACAGAAGGGGUUUGCACGUGGGAUUCUAAUGACCUUCCCAGCCCAGGUAUAAUUGCAAGCCCCCUUUUGUUUUCACCAAAUGAAGAAUCAGAGCCAAGGUCAGCCUGAGCUGCCGCCUUCCUCUGUUUCCUGUCCUUUUAUGCCCAUCAGUAAUUAUGCAGACAACUGGAAGCUCUCUGCUUUUCUCAAGGCAUCUCUUGAAUUCUCAAGCUCAUCUCCCCGGUCUAUUUGAGCCUUCUAAUUGCAUAUUAUGUACAACUAAAAUGAAGGGAGAAAUUCAGGAUCUAACAGUAGGAUAAGGCUGACAUAGUUUGAUGACUGAAUACACUUUCCUAGUCCCUUGGGUUUGUUCAUACUCACUAUGGUCUUAGUCCCCGUGGUAUACAAGUUUUUGUGUUUCUUAAGGGACCAUGUACUCGGAAUAGAUUAGGAAUAUAUCGAAAGACUAAUGAUUAAUGUUUCUCUCCCCUGCCAGAGACAGCCCAGAUCUGUCUCAAUGGAAAAGAAUUGAUUCUUUAACAGAUGUCGUGAUAAAUUCUAUAAAUUUCUUCCCUGUGGGGGGGGGGCGGUGGGUACACAAGAAACUUUCAUCAGAUAAUUAAUAUGUAGGGAGGGACAUGCCUGAAGCUAGUGUAUCUCCAUGCACACAUAUUAAGCCGUAGAUUUCCUCACACAACCAUAUCUAUAGCUAACUUGGAAGGCACUUGGCCACCAAAGAAAGUGCACCCAUCCACACCACCUCUAUAAGGAAAUUUUCUCUCCCACUAUUGAACUUACAUAAUACCCACCCCCAUUCCAACCUUAGAGUGCUGCCUGGGGGCAGCUGCAGAAAUCCUGCCUGGGACAGAUGGAGCCUCCAAUCCCUCAGCUACUUCGUGGGUGGUUUUUGAGCCUAUGAGUCAACAUGGGCAGACUGUAGUGUGUGCUGGUGCUGUGUGUGUAUUUGAGGCUUGGCGGGCUGAUUCACAUCGAUGAGGAUAUUAACAGCAAUACUGAGAAUUAUGGUACCUAAUAAAGUUUUUUUUCUUCCAA
Mesocricetus auratus (golden hamster) is the source of this 4260-nucleotide long non-coding RNA. RefSeq lists it as uncharacterized. The transcript has 4 exons. Lineage: Eukaryota; Metazoa; Chordata; Mammalia; Rodentia; Cricetidae. The record is from RefSeq and is a predicted model, not a curated record.